Molecule: non-coding RNA, 165 nt
Filed under: Vibrio maritimus
Lineage: Bacteria; Pseudomonadati; Pseudomonadota; Gammaproteobacteria; Vibrionales; Vibrionaceae
Description: MoCo sequence
Rfam family: Molybdenum/Tungsten riboswitch aptamer (Moco RNA motif)
Source: Rfam by way of RNAcentral
UAAUUGCCAUAACUCCGAGCUCACGACGCUAAGUCGGCGGGACUUUCUCCUUGAAUUAGGAUGUCCAUCUAGAUAAGCGUGUUGAGCCAGUGACAGAAGGUCACAAGGCUUGAUUGGAAAUGAUCACGCCUCCCGUGUUUGGAAAGGUGUUCCGUGGCGCAACAA